GAUGAACGCUGGCGGCGUGCCUAAUACAUGCAAGUCGAGCGAACAGACGAGGAGCUUGCUCCUCUGACGUUAGCGGCGGACGGGUGAGUAACACGUGGAUAACCUACCGAUAAGACUGGGAUAACUUCGGGAAACCGGAGCUAAUACCGGAUAAUAUAUUGAACCGCAUGGUUCAAUAGUGAAAGACGGUUUUGCUGUCACUUAUAGAUGGAUCCGCGCCGCAUUAGCUAGUUGGUAAGGUAACGGCUUACCAAGGCAACGAUGCGUAGCCGACCUGAGAGGGUGAUCGGCCACACUGGAACUGAGACACGGUCCAGACUCCUACGGGAGGCAGCAGUAGGGAAUCUUCCGCAAUGGGCGAAAGCCUGACGGAGCAACGCCGCGUGAGUGAUGAAGGUCUUCGGAUCGUAAAACUCCGUUAUUAGGGAAGAACAAAUGUGUAAGUAACUAUGCACGUCUUGACGGUACCUAAUCAGAAAGCCACGGCUAACUACGUG
This 497-nucleotide ribosomal RNA is filed under the name uncultured bacterium. RNAcentral describes it as "partial 16S ribosomal RNA". It matches the Rfam family "Bacterial small subunit ribosomal RNA", at positions 28 to 507 of the family's 1533-position model. The record is from RNAcentral.